RNAcentral lists this transfer RNA (65 nucleotides) under Coquillettidia linealis. RNAcentral describes it as "tRNA-Tyr". RNAcentral also lists the same sequence under 1 other name. Lineage: Eukaryota; Metazoa; Arthropoda; Insecta; Diptera; Culicidae. The record is from RNAcentral.
GAUUAAAUGGCUGAAGUAUAGGCAAUAAAUUGUAAAUUUAUGUAUAAGAAAAAUCUUUUUAAUCA